CCAUUGGAAACGAUGGCUAAUACCGCAUUGUCCUAUUUGUGUGGGAACACGAAUAGGCAAAGCUCUGGCGCUUCGAGAGGGGCCUGCGUCCGAUUAGCUAGUUGGUGGGGUAAUGGCCCACCAAGGCGACGAUCGGUGGCUGGUCUGAGAGGACGAUCAGUCACACGGGAACUGAGACACGGUCCCGACUCCUACGGGGGGCAGCGGUGAGGAAUAUUGCACAAUGGGGGAAACCCUGAUGCAGCAACGCCGCGUGGAGGAUGAAGGCUUCGGUUGUAAACUCCUUUUCUGGGGGAAGAGCAAGGACGGUACCCCAGGAAUAAGUCACGGCUAACUACGUGCCAGCAGCCGCGGUAAUACGUAGGUGGCGAACGUUAUCCGGAAUUACUGGGCGUAAAGCGCGCGCAGGCGGUCGGCCAAGUCCGGCGUGAAAGCUCCUGGCUUAACUGGGAGAGGUCGUUGGAAACUGAUCGGCUUGAGGCGAUGAGAGGGGUGCGGAAUUCCCGGUGUAGUGGUGGAAUGCGUAGAUAUCGGGGGGAACACCAGUGGCGAAAGCGGCACCCUGGCAUUUGCCUGACGCUCAUGUGCGAAAGCGUGGGGAGCGAACGGGAUUAGAUACCCCGGUAGUCCACGCUGUAAACGAUGAAUACUAGGUGUGGGUGGCAUCAAACCCAUUCGUGCCGAAGCAAACGCGAUAAGUAUUCCGCCUGGGGAGUACGGCCGCAAGGCUAAAACUCAAAGGAAUUGACGGGGGCCCGCACAAGCAGCGGAGCGUGUGGUUUAAUUCGAUGCAACGCGAA
This 800-nucleotide ribosomal RNA is filed under the name uncultured bacterium. RNAcentral's name for it is "bacterial SSU rRNA". It matches the Rfam family "Bacterial small subunit ribosomal RNA", at positions 147 to 965 of the family's 1533-position model. The record is from RNAcentral.